GUUGAAUCUAAAACGUGGUCAAAUGAUGUUUGUGAAGCUUUGGUGGCAUUUUAGAAGAUGUCAUUUCAAUAAAAAUACGAAAUGCGUGAAAACUUUCUUGGACUUUGUUCAGCUCCAGUGUAAGUCUGGAGUUUCAGGCAAAAUUGGCAAAACUUUCUGGGUGUUUUGAUUCUGUGUCAUUCAGUCUCUUUGUUCAGUCAUCUCUGGAUGAGACACUAAACAUUUUUCUCAGCACUCUGUGUAUGCCGCCAUGCAUCCGACAAACGCGGAGAGAAUAAACCAGUGUGUCGGGAGAGCUGGGGAUGGGAAGAGUGGAACCCGGUGGAGUGUUUGGGGCCAGACGGACGGUCUGACAGCCUGGAGCCUCAGGAGUGCCGGGAAAUCACGUCACCUCCUGUAAAUUCUCCUCAGUAGAAAUGGAAGUCUACAUGACCUGCCUCGCUUCCUUGUUGAUUAGUCCACCACUUAUUGAGCAUCUCCAGUGAGGCAUUCCUCGAGCUAUGGAAAGAAAUUUUGAGACGAUGACAAAGACAGGGUCGCCCUGCGGACCCAGCAAUUCCACCGCAGAGGGAUUCUCUCCAAGGCGCACAGUGAGCACGUUCAAGGACGGUUAGAAAGAGAAGUGUCCCUCCCCAGUAGGAAUGCGUCCAUCCAAUGGGGACCCUCACUCGGGGGACUUUCCUACAGUCGUAGAAAUGGGAGCAAUGUGGACCUGGUGUCCUUCGACCAGACUGGAUGCGUCUCAAAGGCGUGGGCAGAGGAACAGCAACUGGAGAAGGACCUGUGCAGAGCAGUGCCAUUCAUGGAAGGUUUAAAAUCACGCAGCACAGUUCUGUAUGUCGUUGGUGGACACAUCCCGUGUUGUGAGCAUGGAAGUGUGCGGCGGGUGAUGAACACUCAAGACCCACAUGGAAGUGGCAAACACAGGACGGAGAGGCGCUGUAUAUCCUUCACUCAGCUUCCCGCAAUAAAAGCGUCUUACAUUUGUAUAAUCACAGCCGCUGGUCGCUGAGGACGGGACACGUUCCGAGAAACGCCUCGUUAGGCGAUCCUGUCGUUGUGCGAACACCAUAGCAGAUCUGAUGCCCUUUGCUGAAAAUGAGAGAUGAGAGAAGAGGCAUUGGGGUUAGCCGACUCCCUGUAGCCAAUAAAACCUUUCUAGCAUCUCCUACCUGUGAUGGACCAUGGACGAGUCCUUCCUCCAUCAGGCAGAGGAGAUCCAGGCCCAGUGAAAAUGUUCUGAUUUCUUCUAAAUUCAGAAGAAAAGAGAUAACUCUAUGCAACCUGGAGUAUGUGUCAUUAUACCAG
RNAcentral lists this long non-coding RNA (1308 nucleotides) under Equus caballus (horse). RNAcentral describes it as "lncRNA (ENSECAG00000046593.1)". The record is from RNAcentral. Lineage: Eukaryota; Metazoa; Chordata; Mammalia; Perissodactyla; Equidae.